GUUGGUUUGGUUGUCAUCUGUAAGAUUCCGAUGGUUCGGUUUGGAGUUCGGAGUACCAAGUUACGACCUUAACUGAAGAUUUGCCACUGUUACAUCGUCACGGUUUGCGUAUCUUUGCGACGAUUUCAUUUUACCGUUGUUGUCCAGUUAAACAAUCAUGGAUUGAUGAUAAGAACGAUUCACAAACCGAUGUGAUAUAUAAAGGUGAGUUUAUUUUCUAUUUUGAUGUUAGAUCAUAAUGUUCAGUUUGAUAAUUUGAAGAUUGAUGGAUGGAAUCAAGAAAAGAAUUUUGAUAUUAAUAGAAGUGGGGGGAUUUUAGGUUUAGUUUAG
RNAcentral lists this long non-coding RNA (330 nucleotides) under Helianthus annuus (common sunflower). RNAcentral describes it as "sRNA HanXRQr2_Chr17g0808561". Lineage: Eukaryota; Viridiplantae; Streptophyta; Magnoliopsida; Asterales; Asteraceae. The record is from RNAcentral.